UCCUACGGGAGGCAGCAGUCGGGAAUUUUGGGCAAUGGGCGAAAGCCUGACCCAGCAACGCCGCGUGAGGGAUGAAGGCCUUCGGGUCGUAAACCUCUGUCAGGAGGGAAGAAGGGGGCCGGGGAGAAUAUUCCCGGUUCAUUGACGGUACCUCCAAAGGAAGCGCCGGCUAACUCCGUGCCAGCAGCCGCGGUAAUACGGAGGGCGCAAGCGUUGUUCGGAAUCAUUGGGCGUAAAGCGCGUGUAGGCGGCCAGGUAAGUCGGGUGUGAAAUCCCGGGGCUCAACCCCGGAACUGCACUCGAUACUGCCCGGCUAGAGUCCCGGAGAGGAAGGCGGAAUUCCCGGUGUAGAGGUGAAAUUCGUAGAUAUCGGGAGGAACACCAGCGGCGAAGGCGGCCUUCUGGACGGUGACUGACGCUGAGACGCGAAAGCGUGGGGAGCAAACAGGAUUAGAUACCCUGGUAGUCCACGCCGUAAACGUUGAGUGCUGGACGUCGGGGGUAUUGACCCCUUCGGUGUCGAAGCUAACGCAUUAAGCACUCCGCCUGGGGAGUACGGUCGCAAGACUAAAACUCAAAUGAAUUGACGG
Molecule: ribosomal RNA, 590 nt
Filed under: uncultured bacterium
Lineage: Bacteria
Description: bacterial SSU rRNA
Rfam family: Bacterial small subunit ribosomal RNA
Source: RNAcentral